CCAAACUCAAGGGGCUGCGGCCCAGCUCUUCCAGACCGCGCGGCGGGGCCAGCUGCAUGCAGCUGUGGUAGUGAUCGCCCUCCUGGCCCUGGAUGCGGUGGCGCCGCGACAGCUGCAGGUCGUGGGAGGAGCCAUCGCCCCGGAGGCGGGGACUGCGUCUCAGCACCUGGAUUACCAGGGGCUCCUUGGAGGCACGCAGGGCCUCCAGGGUCUGCUCCUGAGACAGCUUGGAGAGCUCCUUCCCGUUCACCUGCGGCAGAGACGACAUGUCCCCGUGAGGACCCGCUGAGGCCCUGCUUACCCCUGGGCGCCCUCAUUCCCAGGCUGCAAAGAACAGGCCAGCCCUGGAUGUCGUUCCAGGAAGACAGGCUGUCAAAGGAAAGCACAAGGAGUCCUAGGGACGCCUGGCCAGCCAGUGGCUCCUCUGAUUCAUGGAACCCAAAUAAUCACCUUGCUGCUACUUGGUUGUGUCCUUGUAGACAGUAGUUUCAGUUUUUAUGUUCCCCUCUCUGUAAUCUUCGCAUGGUCAGAAAAGAUUUUUUUAAUCAGGUCUGUCUAAUUAUAAAAAAAAGCAGUUUCGUUGUAGAACAUUUGAAAAAUACAGAAAACCAUAAGGAAGAAAACAAAAAUCACCCAUCUCAAGGGUGUAAAAGCUGUGAAUGUGUUGGCAUAUUUCAUUCCUGCUCUUUUUCCAAUUUGUAACUGCAGGCGCCCUGAGGCCUGGAGCACGCCAGCCUGCGCGUGGACCGUCCGUUGUGUAUUGGCUUGGUCCCUACUGUCCAUCACUAGUGGUUUUCAAUUUUAUUAUAAAGAAGGUUGCAGAGACACAUUGUUUGUAUGUUCUGUACCUAUUUUCUAUGUAUAUCUUUGUGUAAUCUAUAGUUGUUAUGUUAGAGAAAUUUUCCAAAAGUGGAAUUAUUGGAUCAAAGGGUAUCAAGGAAACAGCUUGUCAACCAAGACGGUAUUAGUUGUAAGAAUGUGGUCAGCACAGCCCAAGAGGAUCUGGACAGCUGGAGAGGCCGCAGUUAUAAAGCGAAGAGGGAACGGAGCCCGCGGGGCCAAGUGCAUGGGAGAAAAGGGCUGGCUGCUGACGUGUAUUUGGAGACGCGUGUGAAGGGUGGACUGGCAAAGGCUGGGCACCAAGGGAAUGUGAGGACUGGCCUUGAAGCCCUUAGCAGAGCCAAAACUGUCAGGAAAUGCUUGAGGCAGCAUUAAACACAGCCAGUAUCGACCUUUCAAUGGAACAAACUUACAACUAAAUGAAUUUUAUUAAAAACAAAGGCAAAAGCAAA
Molecule: long non-coding RNA, 1292 nt
Organism: Aethalodelphis obliquidens (Pacific white-sided dolphin)
Lineage: Eukaryota; Metazoa; Chordata; Mammalia; Artiodactyla; Delphinidae
Exons: 3
Source: RefSeq, a predicted model, not a curated record